Molecule: long non-coding RNA, 1097 nt
Organism: Uranotaenia lowii
Lineage: Eukaryota; Metazoa; Arthropoda; Insecta; Diptera; Culicidae
Exons: 3
Source: RefSeq, a predicted model, not a curated record
CGCCAUUUUCUCGCGAAAAAAAAUUUCUAAUGAAAUUUGUCUUGACCGAUAGGUCUGGCCAAAAAAGAGAGGAAAAAAGAAAGAAAGAAAUUUGUUAAAACUUUUACCGAAUCCAGUGUUUGCGCUCACGAUUGGUACCAGUUGGAACUUGGGUUGGCCGUGCUUAAACCGGAGGUUCAAAACGCAUCUCUCCUAGGAGGCCUCUAGUGCGUUGAUUCAAAUUAAUUAUCACGUUGGUGCAAAAUUUAAUUUUCUGCAAGCAGCUGCUGUAAUGAAAGAUUUGGAGCAGGUAAUCGAUCCGGUGGUGGUGGACCACUAAAUUGCCUCAUCCGUCGAUUCUGCGGUGAGCUGGUGCUGAACGGUACUCUUGUGAGGGGUCUGUCGGAUGCCGACCAAUCGAAUGAGCAUCGAUGGCCAUAUUUGCAGAUUUCCCCCGGAAGCCCAACCACAGCAGCAGCAGAAGCUGUUGGAACAUGAUGGUUCCCAGUCAGCCUUCGACGACGGCUGGAAUGGUAUCUCUCGAGCGGGAUUCUCAGGGUUUACUGCUUAAGAUCACCAAGAAGGGCAAGGCUGUUCAGAUUGGUUGAUUUCCCGCACGGAGCCAGGCAGCAUGCAAAGAUUCCGCAAGAGGCUAUCCGUCGACCGCGACUCUCAUGGCUUUUACUGCACUCCUCUUGAGGUUGGUUCAAGCAAAGCAACAGCACAUACAUCGGAAUCGGGACACAGGGUUGCCGAAGAGAAUCAUCCAGUACCAUGUAUGCUAUCUCGACCAAAUGCAAAGAGAUUUCGAUCUGUGAAACGCAAAGAAGGAAGGAGAAUUUUAUACGCUCAUGGGUCACUCAACAGGUCUGUAAAAAUGAUCGCCCAGGGUCUGAGUGACUUACAGAUCAUCGAAGAGGCUAUGCAAUAUUCUGCACUAAGAACAACGUCAGCAAGCAUUCGUCGGAACCAUGUAGAAUUUCUUCGUAUAUAAGGUAAGAUUUGCAAAGUUUUCUUAAAAAUCCGGACCGGAAGCCAAAACCGACGAUUUUAACUGUCGUUAGAAAAGUCGAUAAGUCGAACGAAACCACUGCAUCAUCAGGGCUUUGGAAGGGCUG